GAUGAACGCUGGCGGCGUGCCUAAUACAUGCAAGUCGAGCGAACAGAUGAGAAGCUUGCUUCUCUGAUGUUAGCGGCGGACGGGUGAGUAACACGUGGGUAACCUGCCUAUAAGACUGGGAUAACUCCGGGAAACCGGGGCUAAUACCGGAUAAUAUUUUGAACCGCAUGGUUCAAUAGUGAAAGACGGUUUCGGCUGUCACUUAUAGAUGGACCCGCGGCGUAUUAGCUAGUUGGUAAGGUAACGGCUUACCAAGGCGACGAUACGUAGCCGACCUGAGAGGGUGAUCGGCCACACUGGAACUGAGACACGGUCCAGACUCCUACGGGAGGCAGCAGUAGGGAAUCUUCCGCAAUGGGCGAAAGCCUGACGGAGCAACGCCGCGUGAGUGAUGAAGGUCUUCGGAUCGUAAAACUCUGUUGUUAGGGAAGAACAAAUUUGUUAGUAACUGAACAAGUCUUGACGGUACCUAACCAGAAAGCCACGGCUAACUACGUGCCAGCCGCCGCAGUAA
RNAcentral lists this ribosomal RNA (514 nucleotides) under uncultured bacterium. Its description in RNAcentral is "partial 16S ribosomal RNA". It matches the Rfam family "Bacterial small subunit ribosomal RNA", at positions 28 to 523 of the family's 1533-position model. The record is from RNAcentral.